RNAcentral lists this transfer RNA (62 nucleotides) under Pelecyphorus contortus. RNAcentral's name for it is "tRNA-Cys". Lineage: Eukaryota; Metazoa; Arthropoda; Insecta; Coleoptera; Tenebrionidae. The record is from RNAcentral.
AGUUUAAUAGUCAAUCAUGAUUUUAAAUUGCAAAUUUAAAGGUAAAUAAAAUUUUUAAGCUU